AGCAUGUGCCUGGUGUCGCCAACCGAACGGUCCCUCCUAAAAAUCGGUGGCCCCUGCCUUCACUGCGCAUGCCAUUUCAGAGGUCAGCAGCAAUAUUGAGUACUUGCAUCACGUGACCACGGGUCAUGUGACCUGUGUCGGCCAUGUUGGCGGUGACUACAAUGCGGUAAAUAAGUCUUCAAUUGUGAUAAAUCUUCAACGAUCGGCGAUGAUAACACAUGGUUUAACACUCUCCAGUGAUGUUAGUCAUCUGCAAGGUGAAUAUCGGGACAGGUACAUCGAGAAACUUCAUCAGGGAGGCCUGGAAAACGAUGUUUACCUUUUGCCGAGUGGUUUGUUUACUGACGUCAUCAAGUGCAGCGCUGCGUGUCUUCCCAACUUCACACUGCACGAUCUGUAUCAUUAUGUGAUUAACGAUGUCUCAAGAUAGACUGGACACGAUCUGAAGGCCUACAAGAGUCUGGAUGCCUAUCAGUACUUCGUGUCAGGAUGGGUGACUAGCCUCAAUCAGUGGAUUCUACCAGCAGUUUCAGGUCGUCAUCUCAUCACAGCAAAGGUUCAUCAUUCAUGUGCGCUGUCUGCUGAACAACUGAAACCAUGGGCCAUUGUAGACAAGGAUGUGACUGUACUGUGUGGGCAUUGCACAUGUAAAGCUGGCUUGGGAGAAGUCUGCUCACACAUAACUGCCAUGCUCUUUGCUCUCGAGUCAGCUGUGCGUCAUGUACAAGCCAAGAGCUGUACUGAUGGUCCAAGACAGUGGGGACAUCAAGGGACCAUCAAGACAGGCAAGGACCUCUUUGCCACAGGUGCUGCCAUAGAUUAUCCUGCCAAGAAAAGGAGCACAACUGGCACAGGUGCAGAUGUAGAACAGAAGAAAAGAAGACCAGAGACACCACCAGUGUCAGCUGAUGAAAGUAGACUGUUCUACGAUGCCCUGACAAAUUCUGGUGUUAAGCCAGGCUUGCUGUCAAUACUACCAGAGUACUGUAGAGACUGUUCCUAAACCAGUUGCCUUGUGCUUGCCAAAGCCCCUGACAGACCUCUACAAUGCAAACCACAGAAAGCUCUCUCCCAUGGACCUUGUUAAGGAGUGUGACAGGUUUUUGCUUCAAUAACAGUAACUCAGGAACAGGCUGUGAAGAUCGAACAGGAGACGAGGCAACAGGCAAAGUCAAAGUUAUGGUUUUCCCUCAGAGCAGGAAGGAUCACCACUUUGCGGUUCAAGGAUGCGGCACGAACCGACCCAGCAAACCCAUCAAAGAGUUUGGUCAGGUUGAUCUGUUACCCUGACAGUUCCAAGUUUUCAACAGCUGCCACAUGGUAUGGGUGUGAAAAUGAAGACCGUGCCAGACAAGUGUAUGCCACGUUCGCGAAAACACAACACCUGGACUUCAAGGUCAAUGAAUGUGGCUUGCACAUUAACCCAGCCUUCCCAUUUCUUGGGGCCUCUCCAGAUAGCUUGGUGUCCUGUGCAUGUUGUGGCGAUGGACUGCUAGAAAUCAAAUGUCCUUUUGCAAGCAAGGAUGUUGGCAUUGUCACAGCUGCGCAGUCCAAAAUUCAGCUUGAAGGGCACUGAUGGAAGCUUGGAGCUCAGAAAAGACCACAGUUAUUAUUAUCAAGUGCAGUCACAGCUGUUUGUCACGGGCCGAGAAUACUGCGACUUCGUGGUGUGGACGGAAAGUGCAGAAUUCUGUAUUGUGCGUGUUCAACCUGACUCUGCCUUUUUUUAUUCUGCACUUGAAAAUGUCACAUAUUUUUACAAACUUGACAUUUUGCCUGAACUGUUAGGAAAGAAAAACACCUGUGCCCAAGUCACCAGCCAUACAGUUGUGAACCAGGACAAGACUAGGUGUACAUGGUAUUACUGCAAAGUAACUGUAAGAACACCAGACGUGAUAUGUUGUCAGUACACGACCUGCACAAUCAACCACUUUCAUCUCAAAUGUUUAGGACUAAAGACAGUGCCCAAGUGAAAGUGGUUGUGUACAGACUGUCGAAUAAUUGACAAUGCAAAAAAGAAGUCACAAAAGUCAUAACCAAAUUUCUGUUAUUACAAACAAUGCAUCGUGACUGUUGUUGCUUUAGACAGAAAUGCACUGUAUUCUAGUAUGAUAAAUUACCUGUAGUUCACAAGAUAUUGUGUAUAGGUCUGUAUAUAUAUAUUUUGUAUACAUUCUUUGAAAAUUUUAUUUGAUUAUUUGAGUUUACUACCUUAAAAAAGAGACUACUAAUGUACCAUGUACAGCUACUCAGCACUUAUACAUAUUGAAGGGAUAUCAUAUUAUUUUCUUAAGUCUUAACACCUAUAAAUUUUGAAAACUAACAUAAGCAUGAUAAUAAUAUGAACAAUACAUUAAUUUUACAUCAUUUCAGGAAGAUUAACUGAAAGCUAAUCAAAUGGAACCACAGAUGGACAAGUGUUUGUUAAAGCACAAGCUACACGAACAAUCUUGUCGAGAGUAGUAAAUUCCUCAUUGUCUGUGUUAUGCAGGAGUGUAAUAGGUACAGGACCCUGCAGCAUUGUGUACUUCUGUCGUGCAACUCCGAUUACUCGCUCCACGUGAAUCCGUACUGAAGCCAACUUUCUAGUGUCCUCAAGUUCAUCUGCUCCUAAUUGUUUCUUACCCCUUGUGAAUGCAGGAAUUUCCACUCGAGUACAAUAA
Long non-coding RNA from Thalassophryne amazonica, 2663 nucleotides. RefSeq lists it as uncharacterized. The record is from RefSeq and is a predicted model, not a curated record. The transcript has 4 exons. NCBI's taxonomy places the organism in Eukaryota, Metazoa, Chordata, Actinopteri, Batrachoidiformes, Batrachoididae.